AGCCUGAAGAGCAACUCAAGGAUCACCUGCUCGUUUAUUUGUGGCAUGCUGCAAAAAAGUUUAGCUUUGGGGUGCUACCAUCCACCAGAGUUGAUUUGCUUGCUGCAAUUAUUGGACUGAGCACAUGAAACACAUGCAGAAACUUUUCUUUCUUAUGAGCUCCAGUUUCGAUGGUCAGAAUUCAUAAAGACGUGACUUUCUAUAGCUCAUGAUAUUUAAUGUGAGACAGCAAGGAGCAACAUGUAUGGCUAUACGAUAGAGAGGCAUGAAAGACUUAAUAUGGUCUUUGCAUAUAAAAUGUUUGUAUCUCUGUUUAUUCUUUAAACAAUAUGAUGUAGGCAGGCAAGCAUAAGAAUGGCAAAUUUUGAUUGAAGUUGAAAUAAA
Sorghum bicolor (sorghum) is the source of this 384-nucleotide long non-coding RNA. RefSeq lists it as uncharacterized. The transcript is spliced from 3 exons. NCBI's taxonomy places the organism in Eukaryota, Viridiplantae, Streptophyta, Magnoliopsida, Poales, Poaceae. The record is from RefSeq and is a predicted model, not a curated record.